UUGACCUCGGAUCAGGUAGGGAUCCCGCUG
RNAcentral lists this ribosomal RNA (30 nucleotides) under Parmelina tiliacea. Its description in RNAcentral is "partial 28S ribosomal RNA". Lineage: Eukaryota; Fungi; Ascomycota; Lecanoromycetes; Lecanorales; Parmeliaceae. The record is from RNAcentral.